GACGUAGCGCGCGAGCGUUGUCCGGAUUUAUUGGGCGUAAAGAGCUCGUAGGCGGCUUGUUACGUCGACUGUGAAAACCCGCGGCUCAACUGCGGGCCUGCAGUCGAUACGGGCAGGCUAGAGUUCGGUAGGGGAGACUGGAAUUCCUGGUGUAGCGGUGAAAUGCGCAGAUAUCAGGAGGAACACCGGUGGCGAAGGCGGGUCUCUGGGCCGAUACUGACGCUGAGGAGCGAAAGCGUGGGGAGCGAACAGG
Molecule: ribosomal RNA, 253 nt
Filed under: uncultured bacterium
Lineage: Bacteria
Description: partial 16S ribosomal RNA
Rfam family: Bacterial small subunit ribosomal RNA
Source: RNAcentral